RNAcentral lists this ribosomal RNA (427 nucleotides) under uncultured bacterium. RNAcentral describes it as "partial 16S ribosomal RNA". It matches the Rfam family "Bacterial small subunit ribosomal RNA", at positions 355 to 774 of the family's 1533-position model. The record is from RNAcentral.
UGGGGAAUAUUGGACAAUGGGCGAAAGCCUGAUCCAGCCAUGCCGCGUGUGUGAAGAAGGUCUUCGGAUUGUAAAGCACUUUAAGUUGGGAGGAGGGGCAUUAACCUAAUACGUUAGUGUUUUGACGUUACCGACAGAAUAAGCACCGGCUAACUCUGUGCCAGCAGCCGCGGUAAUACAGAGGGUGCAAGCGUUAAUCGGAAUUACUGGGCGUAAAGCGCGCGUAGGUGGUUUGUUAAGUUGGAUGUGAAAGCCCCGGGCUCAACCUGGGAACUGCAUCCAAAACUGGCAAGCUAGAGUACGGUAGAGGGUGGUGGAAUUUCCUGUGUAGCGGUGAAAUGCGUAGAUAUAGGAAGGAACACCAGUGGCGAAGGCGACCACCUGGACUGAUACUGACACUGAGGUGCGAAAGCGUGGGGAGCAAACA